UCAGAACGAACGCUGGCGGCAGGCCUAACACAUGCAAGUCGAACGGAUCCUUCGGGAUUAGUGGCAGACGGGUGAGUAACGCGUGGGAAGCUACCUUGUGGUAGGGAACAACAGUUGGAAACGACUGCUAAUACCCUAUGAGCCCUAUGGGGGAAAGAUUUAUCGCCAUGAGAUGUGCCCGCGUUAGAUUAGCUAGUUGGUAAGGUAAUGGCUUACCAAGGCGACGAUCUAUAGCUGGUCUGAGAGGAUGAUCAGCCACACUGGGACUGAGACACGGCCCAGACUCCUACGGGAGGCAGCAGUGGGGAAUAUUGGACAAUGGGGGCAACCCUGAUCCAGCCAUGCCGCGUGAGUGAUGACGGCCUUAGGGUUGUAAAGCUCUUUCAGCAGUGAAGAUAAUGACAUUAACUGCAGAAGAAGCCCCGGCUAACUUCGUGCCAGCAGCCGCGGUAAUACGAAGGGGGCUAGCGUUGUUCGGAAUCACUGGGCGUAAAGCGUACGUAGGCGGACUGAUCAGUCAGGGGUGAAAUCCCGGGGCUCAACCCCGGAACUGCCUUUGAUACUGUCAGUCUUGAGAUCGAGAGAGGUGAGUGGAACUCCGAGUGUAGAGGUGAAAUUCGUAGAUAUUCGGAAGAACACCAGUGGCGAAGGCGGCUCACUGGCUCGAWAMCUGAC
This 675-nucleotide ribosomal RNA is filed under the name Pseudovibrio sp. RNAcentral describes it as "bacterial SSU rRNA". It matches the Rfam family "Bacterial small subunit ribosomal RNA", at positions 24 to 744 of the family's 1533-position model. Lineage: Bacteria; Pseudomonadati; Pseudomonadota; Alphaproteobacteria; Hyphomicrobiales; Stappiaceae. The record is from RNAcentral.